RNAcentral lists this ribosomal RNA (727 nucleotides) under uncultured bacterium. RNAcentral describes it as "bacterial SSU rRNA". It matches the Rfam family "Bacterial small subunit ribosomal RNA", at positions 86 to 832 of the family's 1533-position model. The record is from RNAcentral.
GUGUAUAGAGUGGCGAACGGGUGAGUAACACGUGACCAACCUGCCUCUUACAUUGGGACAACCAAAAGAAAUUCUGGCUAAUACCAAAUACUCCGCACAUAUCACAUGAUGUAUGCGGGAAAGCUUUUGCGGUAAGAGAUGGGGUCGCGGCCCAUUAGGUAGACGGCGGGGUAGAAGCCCACCGUGCCGAUGAUGGGUAGCCGGGUUGAGAGACCGACCGGCCACAUUGGGACUGAGAUACGGCCCAGACUCCUACGGGAGGCAGCAGUGGGGAAUAUUGCGCAAUGGGGGAAACCCUGACGCAGCAACGCCGCGUGCGGGAUGAAGGCCUUCGGGUUGUAAACCGCUUUCAGCAGGGAAGACAUCGACGGUACCUGCAGAAGAAGCCCCGGCUAACUACGUGCCAGCAGCCGCGGUAAUACGUAGGGGGCGAGCGUUAUCCGGAUUCAUUGGGCGUAAAGCGCGCGCAGGCGGUUGCUCAAGCGGAACCUCUAAUCUCGGGGCUUAACCUCGAGCCGGGUUCCGAACUGGACGACUCGAGUGCGGUAGAGGCAGAUGGAAUUCCCGGUGUAGCGGUGGAAUGCGCAGAUAUCGGGAAGAACACCAACGGCGAAGGCAGUCUGCUGGGCCGUCACUGACGCUGAGGCGCGAAAGCUGGGGGAGCGAACAGGAUUAGAUACCCUGGUAGUCCCAGCCGUAAACGAUGAGCGCUGGGUGUGGGAGAUUA